CGAGUGGCGGACGGGUGAGUAAUGUCUGGGAAACUGCCUGAUGGAGGGGGAUAACUACUGGAAACGGUAGCUAAUACCGCAUAACGUCGCAAGACCAAAGAGGGGGACCUUCGGGCCUCUUGCCAUCGGAUGUGCCCAGAUGGGAUUAGCUAGUAGGUGGGGUAACGGCUCACCUAGGCGACGAUCCCUAGCUGGUCUGAGAGGAUGACCAGCCACACUGGAACUGAGACACGGUCCAGACUCCUACGGGAGGCAGCAGUGGGGAAUAUUGCACAAUGGGCGCAAGCCUGAUGCAGCCAUGCCGCGUGUAUGAAGAAGGCCUUCGGGUUGUAAAGUACUUUCAGCGGGGAGGAAGGGAGUAAAGUUAAUACCUUUGCUCAUUGACGUUACCCGCAGAAGAAGCACCGGCUAACUCCGUGCCAGCAGCCGCGGUAAUACGGAGGGUGCAAGCGUUAAUCGGAAUUACUGGGCGUAAAGCGCACGCAGGCGGUUUGUUAAGUCAGAUGUGAAAUCCCCGGGCUCAACCUGGGAACUGCAUCU
This 540-nucleotide ribosomal RNA is filed under the name Enterobacter cloacae. Its description in RNAcentral is "bacterial SSU rRNA". It matches the Rfam family "Bacterial small subunit ribosomal RNA", at positions 92 to 628 of the family's 1533-position model. Lineage: Bacteria; Pseudomonadati; Pseudomonadota; Gammaproteobacteria; Enterobacterales; Enterobacteriaceae. The record is from RNAcentral.